UCCCAUAUGGUCUAGUGGUUAGGAUUUGACGUUCUCACCGCCAAGGCCUGGGUUCAAUUCCCGGUAUGGGAA
Molecule: transfer RNA, 72 nt
Filed under: Saccoglossus kowalevskii
Lineage: Eukaryota; Metazoa; Hemichordata; Enteropneusta; Harrimaniidae
Description: tRNA-Glu
Rfam family: tRNA
About the family: Transfer RNA (tRNA) molecules are approximately 80 nucleotides in length. Their secondary structure includes four short double-helical elements and three loops (D, anti-codon, and T loops). Further hydrogen bonds mediate the characteristic L-shaped molecular structure. tRNAs have two regions of fundamental functional importance: the anti-codon, which is responsible for specific mRNA codon recognition, and the 3' end, to which the tRNAs corresponding amino acid is attached (by aminoacyl-tRNA synthetases). tRNAs cope with the degeneracy of the genetic code in two manners: having more than one tRNA (with a specific anti-codon) for a particular amino acid; and 'wobble' base-pairing, i.e. permitting non-standard base-pairing at the 3rd anti-codon position.
Source: RNAcentral